This 577-nucleotide long non-coding RNA is filed under the name Ananas comosus (pineapple). Its description in RNAcentral is "long non-coding RNA (ACOM_LNC043885)". The record is from RNAcentral. Lineage: Eukaryota; Viridiplantae; Streptophyta; Magnoliopsida; Poales; Bromeliaceae.
AAAAAAAAAAACGUCGAUUAAGUUGUUUGAUCAAUUUAUGUUUUUCGAAUUUUCCAAAAACGAUCUAUAAAUCGUUUUCUCGGGAAAAAACGGUUUAGAAUACCCAAAAUCAUAAUUUUAAUCUUAAAAACAUGAGGAUGGCUCUGAUACCACUGUUAGAAAAUUGCGUACGGUAAAAUGCAGCGGAAAAGAAAAUCAAACAAAUUUGAUUUUGAAAACUCUCGAGAUCUAAUCUCAAAACCACGCAAUUAGGAUCCCUCAUAUUUUAAGAUUAAAGAAGAAAAACAAGAUCGAAUCUUUACCUUUUUCGCGGAUAGAUCUUCCCCUCAAUUUGAUGAUCGUGGAAUUCGGUUCUCUUGAAGCCGCACACGCGUCCGGCCUCUAUAGGUAUCCACACGAGGUUCUUGAUUUGAUCGAUGUCCUCACCGGGGUGCUAGCUCCCUUGCAAAAGGACGUCUUUCUUGCUAGAAGAUGGAAGAGAGAAGAGAGGAUAGAUGACGGCUAGGGUUUUCUAAAACUCCCGUAUAUUAUAUAUAGGAAUAUAAUCCUAUUCCUAAUAAUAUAAUGACAAUUAAGG